UGUUUCUCAGAAAAAUUGGUU
RNAcentral lists this non-coding RNA (21 nucleotides) under Caenorhabditis elegans. The record is from RNAcentral. Lineage: Eukaryota; Metazoa; Nematoda; Chromadorea; Rhabditida; Rhabditidae.